This 404-nucleotide ribosomal RNA is filed under the name uncultured bacterium. RNAcentral's name for it is "bacterial SSU rRNA". It matches the Rfam family "Bacterial small subunit ribosomal RNA", at positions 29 to 428 of the family's 1533-position model. The record is from RNAcentral.
AUUGAACGCUGGCGGCAUGCCUUACACAUGCAAGUCGAACGCCAAAGCGAGGGGCAACUCUUGCGAGUAGCGUGGCGCACGGGUGAGUAACACAUCGGAACGUAUCCACGAGUGGGGGACAACCAGUCGAAAGAUUGGCUAAUACCGCAUACGCUGGGGACAGGAAAGCGGGGGACCGGGUCACACCGGCCUCGCGCUCGCGGGGCGGCCGAUGUCCGAUUAGCAGUUGGCGGGGUAAGAGCCCACCAAGGCUGCGAUCGGUAGCGGGUCUGAGAGGAUGAUCCGCCACACUGGGACUGAGACACGGCCCAGACUCCUACGGGAGGCAGCAGUGGGGAAUUUUGGACAAUGGGCGCAAGCCUGAUCCAGCCAUGCCGCGUGAGUGAAGAAGGCCUCGGUUGUAA